RNAcentral lists this long non-coding RNA (5158 nucleotides) under Sorghum bicolor (sorghum). RNAcentral's name for it is "long non-coding RNA (SBIC_LNC010492)". The record is from RNAcentral. Lineage: Eukaryota; Viridiplantae; Streptophyta; Magnoliopsida; Poales; Poaceae.
ACGUCUUUCACUUGUUCAAGCUCAAAUUUCCUGUGGUUACUUCUUGAGUGCUCCUAAGUAAAAGAAAAUUAUCAAAAAAAAAAAUAAAAAGAAUUGCAGGUUUCGAACCGUGUUGUUCGCAAGCUGGAUUGAUUUGUCUCUUUUCCACCAAAUCGAUAGUUGCCAGAAACUUUCGGAAGAUCGGGCCACACUUAUUCUCCUCAAGUGGUAAUCAAAGCUUCAGACAUAACGUUAGGUUCACAUCUACCCUUAGUUUCAAGUGUCCUUGUGUUGGUCCCAUAAGUCUGGUGCCGUAUUAUUUUCAUGUCCUACAACCCAUCCGCGCCAUAGCCUUUGCAUAUUUCAGUUUCCGAGUCCGUAGUGUUGAGUUUGUGUCCUGGUCGAGCUCUUGUUACUGGUUAGGUCUUGUUAGAGUCCAAUUUGUAUGUUUCUUCCCACCGUUUCCAUCAAUUUAUAGCCACCGCCGCAAAUUUUCCCACUUCUGGACUGUUUUGUCCUCUAAUUCGGAGUCCGUUCUUAAAACAGUCAUAACUUUCGCAUACGAACUCCGAUUUUGGCAUUCUAUAUAUCAAAAUCGAUCAGAAAAUUUUUCUGGGUCUGUCUAUGCCUGCUAGCGGGUUCGACAAAUUUAGAAUCCCCAAAUUCGCCUCUGAAGUUUGAGUUUUCACCUCCUAAAGUUUUCUUUAUAUUUUUCGCAAUCUUCAAAACUUUCCACAGGCCACGUCUUUCACUUGUUCAAGCUCAAAUUUCCUGUGGUUACUUCUUGUGUGCUCCUAAGUAAAAGAAAAAUAUCAAAGAAAAAUAAAAAGAACUGCAGGUUUCGAACCAUGUUGUUCGCAAGCUGGAUUGAUUUGUGUCUCUUUUCCACCAAAUCGAUAGUUGCCAGAAACUUUCGGAAGAUCGGGCCACACUUAUUCUCCUCAAGUGGUAAUCAAAGCUUCAGACAUAACGUUAGGUUCACAUCUACCCUUAGUUUCGAGUGUCCUUGUGUUCGUCCCAUAAGUCUGGUGCCAUAUUGUUUUCAUGUCCUACAACCCAUCCGCGCCAUAGCCUUUGCAUAUUUCAGUUUCAGAGUCCGUAGUGUUGAGUUUGUGUCCUGGUCGAGGUCUUGUUACUGGUUAGGUCUUGUUAGAGUCCAAUUUGUGUGUUUCUUCCCACCGUUUCCAUCAAUUUAUAGCCACCGCCGCAAAUUUUCCCACUUCUGGACUGUUUUGUCCUCUAAUUCGGAGUCCGUUCGUAAAACAGCCAUAACUUUCGCAUACGAACUCCGAUUUUGACGUUCCAUAUAUCAAAAUCGAUCAGAAAAUUUUUUUUGGGUCUGUCUAUGCCCGCCAUAGGCGGGUUCGACAAAUUAGGAUCCCCAAAUUCGCCUCUGAAGUUUGAGUUUUCACCUCCUAAAGUUUUCUUUAUAUUUUUCGCAAUCUUCAAAACUUUCCACAGGCCACGUCUUUCACUUGUUCAAGCUCAAAUUUCCUGUGGUUACUUCUUGAGUGCUCCCAAGUUAAAGAAAAAUAUCAAAAAAAAUAAAAAGAAUUGCAGGUUUCGAACCGUGUUGUUCGUAAGCUGGAUUGAUUUGUGUCUUUUUUCCACCAAAUCGAUAGUUGCCAGAAACUUUCGGAAGAUCGGGCCACACUUAUUCUCCUCAAGUGGUAAUCAAAGCUUCAGACAUAACGUUAGGUUCACAUCUACCCUUAGUUUCGAGUGUCCUUGUGUUCGUCCCAUAAGUCUGGUGCCAUAUUGUUUUCAUGUCCUACAACCCAUCCGCGCCAUAGCCUUUGCAUAUUUCAGUUUCCGAGUUCGUAGUGUUGAGUUUGUGUCCUGGUCGAGAUCUUGUUACUGGUUAGGUCUUGUUAGAGUCCAAUUUGUGUGUUUCUUCCCACCGUUUCCAUCAAUUUAUAGCCACCGCCGCAAAUUUUCCCACUUCUGGACUGUUUUGUCCUCUAAUUCGGAGUCCGUUCGUAAAACAGCCAUAACUUUCGCAUACGAACUCCGAUUUUGACGUUGCAUAUAUCAAAAUCGAUCAGAAAAUUUUUUUGGGUCUGUCUAUGCCCGCUUUGCGGGUUCGACAAAUUUAUAAUCCCCAAAUUCGCCUCUAAAGUUGGAGUUUUCACCUCCUAAUGUUUUCUUUAUAUUUUUCGCAAUCUUCAAAAGUUUCCACAGGCCACGUCUUUCACUUGUUCAAGCUCAAAUUUCCUGUGGUUACUUCUUGAGUGCUCCUAAGUAAAAGAAAAAUAUCUCAAAAAAAUAAAAUAAUUGCAGGUUUCGAACCGUGUUGUUCGCAAAUUGGAUUGAUUUGUGUCUCUUUUCCACCAAAUCGAUAGUUGCCAGAAACUUUCGGAAGAUCGGGCCACACUUAUUCUCCUCAAGUGGUAAUCAAAGCUUCAGACAUAACGUUAGGUUCACAUCUACCCUUAGUUUCGAGUGUCCUUGUGUUCGUCCCAUAAGUCUGGUGCCAUAUUGUUUUCAUGUCCUACAACCCAUCCGCGCCAUAGCCUUUGCAUAUUUCAGUUUUAGAGUCCGUAGUGUUGAGUUUGUGUCCUGGUCGAGGUCUUGUUACUGGUUAGGUCUUGUUAGAGUCCAAUUUGUGUGUUUCUUCCCACCGUUUCCAUCAAUUUAUAGCCACCGCCGCAAAUUUUCCCACUUCAGGACUGUUUUGUCCUCUAAUUCGGAGUCCGUUCGUAAAACAGCCAUAACUUUCGCAUACGUUCCAUAUAUCAAAAUCGAUCAGAAAAUUUUUUUUGGGUCUGUCUAUGCCCGCCACGGGCGGGUUCGACAAAUUAGGAUCCCCAAAUUCGCCUCUGAAGUUUGAGUUUUCAUCUCCUAAAGUUUUCUUUAUAUUUUUCGCAAUCUUCAAAACUUUCCACAGGCCACGUCUUUCACUUGUUCAAGCUCAAAUUUCCUGUGGUUACUUCUUGAGUGCUCCUAAGUAAAAGAAAAAUAUCAAAGAAAAAAUAAAAUAAUUGCAGGUUUCGAACCGUGUUGUUCGCAAACUGGAUUGAUUUGUGUCUCUUUUCCACCAAAUCGAUAGUUGCCAGAAGCUUUCGGAAGAUCGGGCCACACUUAUUCUCCUCAAGUGGUAAUCAAAGCUUCAGACAUAACGUUAGGUUCACAUCUACCCUUUGUUUCGAGUGUCCUUGUGUUCGUCCCAUAAGUCUGGUGCCAUAUUCUUUUCAUGUCCUACAACCCAUCCGCGCCAUAGCCUUUGCAUAUUUCAGUUUCAGAGUCCGUAGUGUUGAGUUUGUGUCCUGGUCGAGGUCUUGUUACAGGUUAGGUCUUGUUAGAGUCCAAUUUGUGUGUUUCUUCCCACCGUUUCCAUCAAUUUAUAGCCACCGCCGCAAAUUUUCCCACUUCUGGACUGUUUUGUCCUCUAAUUCGGAGUCCGUUCGUAAAACAGCCAUAACUUUCGCAUACGAACUCCGAUUUUGACGUUCCAUAUAUCAAAAUCGAUCAGAAAAUUUUUUUUGGGUCUGUCUAUGCCCGCCACGGGCGGGUUCGACAAAUUAGGAUCCCCAAAUUCGCCUCUGAAGUUUGAGUUUUCAUCUUCUAAAGUUUUCUUUAUAUUUUUCGCAAUCUUCAAAACUUUCCACAGGCCACGUCUUUCACUUGUUCAAGCUCAAAUUUCCUGUGGUUACUUCUUGAGUGCUCCCAAGUUAAAGAAAAAUAUCAAAAAAAAAUAAAAAGAAUUGCAGGUUUCGAACCGUGUUGUUCGGAAGCUGGAUUGAUUUGUGUCUUUUUUCCACCAAAUCGAUAGUUGCCAGAAACUUUCGGAGGAUCGGGCCACACUUAUUCUCCUCAAGUGGUAAUCAAAGCUUCAGACUUAACGUUAGGUUCACAUCUACCCUUAGUUUCGAGUGUCCUUGUGUUCGUCCCAUAAGUCUGGUGCCAUAUUGUUUUCAUGUCCUACAACCCAUCCGCGCCAUAGCCUUUGCAUAUUUCAGUUUCCGAGUUCGUAGUGUUGAGUUUGUGUCCUGGUCGAGAUCUUGUUACUGGUUAGGUCUUGUUAGAGUCCAAUUUGUGUGUUUCUUCCCACCGUUUCCAUCAAUUUAUAGCCACCGCCGCAAAUUUUCCCACUUCUGGACUGUUUUGUCCUCUAAUUCGGAGUCCGUUCGUAAAACAGCCAUAACUUUCGCAUACGAACUCCGAUUUUGACGUUGCAUAUAUCAAAAUCGAUCAGAAAAUUUUUUUGGGUCUGUCUAUGCCCGCUUUGCGGGUUCGACAAAUUUAUAAUCCCCAAAUUCGCCUCUAAAGUUGGAGUUUUCACCUCCUAAUGUUUUCUUUAUAUUUUUCGCAAUCUUCAAAAGUUUCCACAGGCCACGUCUUUCACUUGUUCAAGCUCAAAUUUCCUGUGGUUACUUCUUGAGUGCUCCUAAGUAAAAGAAAAAUAUCAAAGAAAAAAUAAAAUAAUUGCAGGUUUCGAACCGUGUUGUUCGCAAACUGGAUUGGGUAAUCAAAGCUUCAGACAUAACGUUAGGUUCACAUCUACCCUUAGUUUCGAGUGUCCUUGUGUUCGUCCCAUAAGUCUGGUGCCAUAUUGUUUUCAUGUCCUACAACCCAUCCGCGCCAUAGCCUUUGCAUAUUUCAGUUUCAGAGUCCGUAGUGUUGAGUUUGUGUCCUGGUCGAGGUCUUGUUACUGGUUGUUAGAGUCCAAUUUUUGUGUUUCUUCCCACCGUUUCCAUCAAUUUAUAGCCACCGCCGCAAAUUUUACCACUUCUAGACUGUUUUGUCAUCUAAUUCGGAGUCCGUUCGUAAAACAGCCAUAACUUUCGCAUACGAACUCCGAUUUUGACGUCGCAUAUAUCAAAAUCGAUCAGAAAAUUUUUCUGAGUCUGUCUAUGCCCGCCAAAGGCGGGUUCGACAAAUUUAGAAUCCCCAAAUUCGCCUCUGAAGUUUGAGUUUUCACCUCCUAAAGUUUUCUUUAUAUUUUUCGCAAUCUUCAAAAGUUUCCACAGGACACGUCUUUCACUUGUUCAAGCUCAAAUUUCCUGUGGUUACUUCUUGAGUGCUCCUAAGUAAAAGAAAAAUAUCAAAAAAAUAAAAUAAAAAGAAUUGCAGGUUUCGAACCGUGUUGUUCGCAAGCUGGAUUGAUUUGUCUCUUUUCCACCAAAUCGAUAGUUGCCAGAAACUUUUGGAAGAUCGAGCCACACUUAUUCUCCUCAAG